Molecule: ribosomal RNA, 197 nt
Filed under: uncultured beta proteobacterium
Lineage: Bacteria; Pseudomonadati; Pseudomonadota; Betaproteobacteria
Description: partial 16S ribosomal RNA
Rfam family: Bacterial small subunit ribosomal RNA
Source: RNAcentral
ACUCCUACGGGAGGCAGCAGUGGGGAAUUUUGGACAAUGGGGGCAACCCCGAUCCAGCAAUGCCGCGUGUGUGAAGAAGGCCUUCGGGUUGUAAAGCACUUUUGUCCGGAAAGAAAUCGCGCUGGCUAAUACCUGGCGUGGAUGACGGUACCGGAAGAAUGAGCACCGGCUAACUACGUGCCAGCAGCCGCGGUAAU